CUGAACACACAGAGAGACCUACACAGACUGGAGACCAGCUCUGAACACACAGAGAGACCUACACAGACUGGAGACCAGCUCUGAACACACAGAGAGACCUACACAGACUGGAGACCAGCUCUGAACACACAGAGAGACCUACAGAGAGACCUACACAGACUGGAGACCAGCUCUGAACACACAGAGAGACCUACACAGACUGGAGACCAGCUCUGAACACACAGAGAGACCUACACAGACAGACUGAGACACAGUACUAACACACACACACACACACAGCACUACCAGACACACCAGCCAUGAAGAGGAAGGAUGAAGCUCGUACCGAGGGCCUGGAUCUUAGAAAGUCCUGAUGUGACAGAAAGAAGAGACAGUACAUGUAGGAAGGACAUGCUGGUGCUCACUACAGUAGCCCCGCCCCCACCCCUCCCACAAUGCUUUGGGUUUGUUCCUGUCUCACUACAGUAGCCCCGCCCCCGCCCCUCCCACAAUGCUUUGGGUUUGUUCCUGUCUCACUACAGUAGCCCCGCCCCCGCCCCUCCCACAAUGCUUUGGGUUUGUUCCUGUCUCACUACAGUAGCCCCGCCCCCACCCCUCCCACAAUGCUUUGGGUUUGUUCCUGUCUCACUACAGUAGCCCCGCCCCCGCCCCUCCCACAAUGCUUUGGGUUUGUUGAACUCUUGUUCAUCUGGGGGGGGUUCCCUCUAAAUGGACGAGUCUCUGGACAGAAAACCUGGCUGAACAAGUGUUUCAGGUGUGGAUUUAAAUAUUCAGAUGUUUUGGUGUCGUAAACAUCCUGAUGUAUCAUAUUGAAGAGAUAUAUACAGUGUGAUGGACAUUUAACUGAACAUCAAGGACAGACGUCACUAUAUUUUAAAGGUUAUACUGUGUAUCUGGAGUCAGGGUGGAGGGGGGGGGGUAACAGGAUGUUUUAGUCAGGAAGUGGUUGAAUAUAAACUCUGGUGUUAUUAUUAUAAUUGAUCCGAUGUUAUUAACUUUAUAUAAUUAUAGAUAGUCUGUUCUAUAUAGAGGUUAUUUUGAGUCUGGUCUCAGACCACACACACACACACACACACACACACACACCAGAGAGAGACGUCUCAGACACACACACACCGAGAGAGAGACAUGUCUCACAGACACACACACACCCGAGAGAGACAUCUUAGACACACACAGAGAGAGAGUGACGUCUCGGACACACACACCGAGAGAGACAUCUUAGACACACACAGAGAGAGAGUGACGUCUCAGACACACACACCGAGAGAGACAUCUUAGACACACACAGAGAGAGAGUGACGUCUCGGACAGACACACCGAGAGAGUGACGUCUCGGACACACACACCGAGAGAGUGACGUCUCGGACACACACACCGAGAGAGUGACGUCUCGGACACACACACCGAGAGAGUGACGUCUCGGACACACACACCGAGAGAGUGACGUCUCGGACACACACACCGAGAGAGUGACGUCUCGGACACACACACCGAGAGAGUGACGUCUCGGACACACACACCGAGUGACGUCUCGGACACACACACCGAGAGAGUGACGUCUCGGACACACACACCGAGAGAGUGACGUCUCGGACACACACACCGAGAGAGACUGACGUCUCGGACACACACACCGAGAGAGAGUGACGUCUCGGACACACACACCGAGAGAGGGAGAGACGUCUCGGACACACACACCGAGAGAGGGAGAGACGUCUCGGACACACACACCGAGAGAGGGAGAGACGUCUCGGACACACACACCGAGAGAGGGAGAGACGUCUCGGACACACACACCGAGAGAGGGAGAGACGUCUCGGACACACACACCGAGAGAGUGAGAGACGUCUCGGACACACACACCGAGAGAGUGACGUCUCGGACACACACACCGAGAGAGAGGGAGAGACGUCUCGGACACACACACCGAGAGAGGGAGAGACGUCUCGGACACACACACCGAGAGAGGGAGAGACGUCUCGGACACACACACCGAGAGAGGGAGAGACGUCUCGGACACACACACCGAGAGAGUGAGAGAGACGUCUCGGACACACACACCGAGAGAGAGAGACGUCUCAAUCGAGAGACGAGGUGGUCUGAUCUAGACAGAGGAGAUAUGAACCAGGUCACAUGCCCAUAUUAUUUAUCACACACAGAGACCUUGUUUCACGGUUAAUAUUUGGACCCCACGGGGGGGGGGGUGUAUGUGUGUAGUGUGUGUUUGGUAAGUCUAGGUACUGUACGGUGUGUUGUAUUUUACCCGCCCCAUCCUAUUUCAGUUCAAGAGGGUUGAUUUGUUCCAUCUCAAACACACACCUUUAUAUAGAACAGAAUAGAACAACCUCUGGUCAUAUAGAACAACCUCUGGUCAUGUAGAACAACCUCUGGUCAUGUAGAACAACCUCUGGUCAUGUAGAACAACCUCUGGUCAUGUAGAACAACCUCUGGUCAUGUAGAACAACCUCUGGUCAUGUAGAACAACCUCUGGUCAUGUAGAACAACCUCUGGUCAUGUAGAACA
Oncorhynchus tshawytscha (Chinook salmon) is the source of this 2526-nucleotide long non-coding RNA. NCBI's taxonomy places the organism in Eukaryota, Metazoa, Chordata, Actinopteri, Salmoniformes, Salmonidae. The record is from Ensembl.